This 191-nucleotide long non-coding RNA is filed under the name Cimex lectularius (bed bug). RNAcentral's name for it is "uncharacterized LOC106667380, transcript variant X1". The record is from RNAcentral. Lineage: Eukaryota; Metazoa; Arthropoda; Insecta; Hemiptera; Cimicidae.
AGGCACCUGCUCUUUUUUAUGUAAAUGGCAAGGAGAGUGCGUUGGAUUUCCUCUUGCACUGGAACGGGCAAAAGCUGCAUGACUGUUCCGGCUGUUUGCCGCAUUCGUACCGGAGAUGCUGCAUCAGAUGUGACUUCCUCUUGUAGCUCCUGUCGCAAUUUUGGCAAAAGUGUCUAGCUAUAAAUGAAAAA